UUCUCUCCUCUCAGCCAGCAUCUGGUUUUCAAAAGGCAAGAUGUCCCCUGAAGUUGGUGCCCUGUCAGAUUCAGCAGCGAUUAAUGUUCUGAUGGAAAUGUCUGUCCUUGUUCCUGCUACAUGACAUUUAACCAUUGCCAAGAGAAGCCAAGACUCACUUCCACAACUAAUAAGAAGUGGACUUCACCCCACCAUGCAAAGGCAGACUGUCGAGGCUUUACCCCACCGCUCACCCAACGACUGCUGGAGAAAGACACUAGGACGGACAGCUGGAUAGAUGGAUGGACAGUCGGACGGAUGCUUGUUAAAAAAUAGAGAAUCAGAAAACAACAUUGCUGCAAAUCCAAAAGUCCAUGGAUCUAUAUAGUGAAAACAACUUACUGAAGUUUGAACAAAGCAUUGCAAUGGUGAAGAAAGGGGAUUUAAAUG
Long non-coding RNA from Gambusia affinis (western mosquitofish), 429 nucleotides. RefSeq lists it as uncharacterized. The transcript is spliced from 3 exons. The record is from RefSeq and is a predicted model, not a curated record. Lineage: Eukaryota; Metazoa; Chordata; Actinopteri; Cyprinodontiformes; Poeciliidae.